This 240-nucleotide ribosomal RNA is filed under the name uncultured bacterium. Its description in RNAcentral is "partial 16S ribosomal RNA". It matches the Rfam family "Bacterial small subunit ribosomal RNA", at positions 524 to 768 of the family's 1533-position model. The record is from RNAcentral.
UACGGAGGAUGCAAGCGUUAUCCGGAAUGAUUGGGCGUAAAGCGUUUAAGGUGGUUGGUAAGUCUACUGUUAAAUAUCAGGGCUUAACCCUGAACAGGCAGCGGAACUACCAAGCUGGAGUACGGUAGGGCAGAGAGAAUUCCGGUGGAGCGGAUGAAUGCGUAGAUAUCGGGAGGAACACCUGUGGCGAAAGCGGCUCACUGGACCACAACUGACGCUGAGGCGCGAAAGCUAGGGGAG